CUCAUAGGCUGGUUGCCUUUGGUCACCGGCUAUUCUUUUCAACAUUUUACAUUGAAUACUUUUUUUAUCUUGUUUUUGUGCUGUAAUACAUUUUUAAACAUUUCCCUACAUUCAAACUUGAGUCCUGAUCUAUAUAGGGAGGACACCAGGAGUGUGGGAGAAGCAGGGCAAUAUUACCAGACCAAAUAGACCAAGUUAUUUUACAUCUAUUUAUCUAAUUUAUACUUUGAAGUGCACGUCCUAUCUUUGAUAGAUCUUUUUUCUAAAUGCCCC
Molecule: non-coding RNA, 273 nt
Organism: Pelobates cultripes (western spadefoot toad)
Lineage: Eukaryota; Metazoa; Chordata; Amphibia; Anura; Pelobatidae
Source: the annotation of a GenBank genome assembly